GAUGAACGCUGGCGGCGUGCCUAAUACAUGCAAGUCGAGCGAACAGACGAGGAGCUUGCUCCUCUGACGUUAGCGGCGGACGGGUGAGUAACACGUGGAUACCCUACCUAUAAGACUGGGAUAACUUCGGGAAACCGGAGCUAAUACCGGAUAAUAUAUUGAACCGCAUGGUUCAAUAGUGAAAGACGGUUUUGCUGUCCCUUAUAGAUGGAUCCGCGCCGCAUUAGCUAGUUGGUAAGGUAACGGCUUACCAAGGCAACGAUGGGUAGCCGACCUGAAAGGGGAAUCGGCCAAACUGGAACUGAGACAGGGUCCAGACUCCAACGGGAGGCGGAAGUAGGAAAUCUUCCGCAAGGGGCGAAAGCCGGACGAAGCAACGCCGCGUGAGGAAUGAAGGUCUUCGGAUCGUAAAACUCUGUUAUUAGGGAAGAAAAAAUGUGUAAGUAACUAUGCACGGAUUGACGGUACCUAAUCAGAAGACCACGGCUAACUACGU
RNAcentral lists this ribosomal RNA (496 nucleotides) under uncultured bacterium. Its description in RNAcentral is "partial 16S ribosomal RNA". It matches the Rfam family "Bacterial small subunit ribosomal RNA", at positions 28 to 506 of the family's 1533-position model. The record is from RNAcentral.